Molecule: unclassified non-coding RNA, 200 nt
Filed under: Schizoparmaceae sp.
Lineage: Eukaryota; Fungi; Ascomycota; Sordariomycetes; Diaporthales; Schizoparmaceae
Description: partial internal transcribed spacer 2
Source: RNAcentral
UUAAGUUCAGCGGGUCUUCCUACCUGAUCCGAGGUCAACCUUGGGUAAAUAAGGCGUUUAACGGCCGGAACCCGCAGCACUCCCAGAGCGAGAUGUAACUACUACGCUCAGAGUCUUAGCGAGCCCGCCACUGAAUUUCAGAGCCUACCGCUUUAUACAAACGGUAGUGCUCCAACACCAAGCAAGGCUUGAGGGGUGAA